UGAUUUAGGGGUCUGGAGUGUUCCUUUAAUAAUGAAGGGUUCAUGAAUUAAUUGUAGCAUAAUUAAUCUCACCUUGUCUUCUAGUAUUAAACAGUUUUUGUCUAUUUAAUAAACUUCCCAUCCCACUAUCUGAAACAAGCUUCUCCCCAGCCAUAACUUGUCAAAUUAAUAAUGUAUUUUGGGGUUAUCUCAGCACUUUCCACUGUUAGUUGGAAACCUUAUUUUUCUGAUUAACAAAUGAAUAAAAAAGUGAAUGUCUCAUUAAAAUGAAGUUAAAUUUUUAUGAAAAUAUAAAAAUGUGCAAGGGGAGUUUAAAAUGUGCUAAGGAACACCCUAAUAAACUGAGAUAUUGUCCUUGCUGCCCCAUCUGCAUUUUCUUGUCAUAAUGCAUUAACAUAAUCACUAUUUAGUUGAUUAGUAUCGGGAAAUGGACUGACUUUACAUAGCACUUGAGAAUGAAUCUGAUAUUUUGUGUAUCAUUUAGAUUGUAAAGAUAUAAUAGAAAAAUCAAGAUAUGAAAUUUGUUUAAUUUUAGUUGGUUGAAUAAAAAAAUGCCAUUUGUGAUUGAGUUUAUGAAUUUCCAUAAAUAUUUCAAGAAAUAUAUUCUGUGCACUAAUACAUAUCCAUGGUUUUAAAUAAAC
This is a non-coding RNA of Pelobates cultripes (western spadefoot toad), 641 nucleotides long. The record is from the annotation of a GenBank genome assembly. Lineage: Eukaryota; Metazoa; Chordata; Amphibia; Anura; Pelobatidae.